AGGACGAACGCUGGCGGCGUGCCUAACACAUGCAAGUGGAGCGACGAACCAGGCUUCGGCCUGGGGCAGAGCCGCGAACGGGUGAGUAACACGUGGGUAACCUGCCCUGAUGAUUGGGACAACCCGAGGAAACUCGGGCUAAUACCGAAUGUGCCCUCCGGCCUCAAGGCCGUUGGGGAAAGGAAGCUUCGGCCUCCGCAUCGGGAUGGGCCCGCGGCCCAUUAGCUUGUUGGUGAGGUAACGGCUCACCAAGGCAACGAUGGGUAGCUGGUCUGAGAGGACGAUCAGCCACACUGGGACUGAGACACGGCCCAGACUCCUACGGGAGGCAGCAGUGGGGAAUUUUGCGCAAUGGGGGAAACCCUGACGCAGCAACGCCGCGUGGAGGAUGAAGCCCCUUGGGGUGUAAACUCCUUUCGAUCGGGAAGAUAAUGACGGUACCGAUAUAAGAAGCCCCGGCUAACUUCGUGCCAGCAGCCGC
This 481-nucleotide ribosomal RNA is filed under the name uncultured bacterium. Its description in RNAcentral is "SSU rRNA". It matches the Rfam family "Bacterial small subunit ribosomal RNA", at positions 26 to 518 of the family's 1533-position model. The record is from RNAcentral.